GUUUUUUUGAAAUCUCCCAGCUCACAGUGCCACUUCCUCCAACAAGGAUAUAUACCUAAUCUGGGGACAGACAGUGCUUUACUAGAGCAGAGGAAAUCCAAACGGGUCAUUUCCAUCUGCCCUGGGGCCUGUCUCUACAACUCUGCCACACUC
This is a small nucleolar RNA of Mus caroli (Ryukyu mouse), 153 nucleotides long. RefSeq annotates it as small nucleolar RNA SNORA55. Lineage: Eukaryota; Metazoa; Chordata; Mammalia; Rodentia; Muridae. The record is from RefSeq and is a predicted model, not a curated record.